AGUGAACGCUGGCGGUAGGCCUAACACAUGCAAGUCGAACGGCAGCACAGUAAGAGCUUGCUCUUACGGGUGGCGAGUGGCGGACGGGUGAGGAAUACAUCGGAAUCUACUUUUUCGUGGGGGAUAACGUAGGGAAACUUACGCUAAUACCGCAUACGACCUACGGGUGAAAGCAGGGGAUCUUCGGACCUUGCGCGAUUGAAUGAGCCGAUGUCGGAUUAGCUAGUUGGCGGGGUAAAGGCCCACCAAGGCGACGAUCCGUAGCUGGUCUGAGAGGAUGAUCAGCCACACUUGAGCUGAGACACGGUCCAGACUCCUACGGGAGGCAGCAGUGGGGAAUAUUGGACAAUGGGCGCGAGCCUGAUCCAGCCAUAGCGCGUGGGUGAAGAAGGCCUUCGGGUUGUAAAGCCCUUUUGUUGGGAGAGAAAAGCAGCAGGUUAAUACCCCGCUGUUCUGACGGUACCCGAAGAAUAAGCACCGGCUAACUUCGUG
Molecule: ribosomal RNA, 492 nt
Filed under: uncultured bacterium
Lineage: Bacteria
Description: partial 16S ribosomal RNA
Rfam family: Bacterial small subunit ribosomal RNA
Source: RNAcentral